Molecule: non-coding RNA, 113 nt
Organism: Podarcis lilfordi (Lilford's wall lizard)
Lineage: Eukaryota; Metazoa; Chordata; Lepidosauria; Squamata; Lacertidae
Source: the annotation of a GenBank genome assembly
AGCUUUAACUAUACGGACCUUUGUUGGCAAGGUGAUGCUUUUUAAGAUGCUGCCUAGAUUUCUUUAAAAGCAGAGACAUCACCUUGCCAACAAAGGUCCGUAUAGUUAAAGCU